RNAcentral lists this ribosomal RNA (497 nucleotides) under uncultured bacterium. RNAcentral describes it as "partial 16S ribosomal RNA". It matches the Rfam family "Bacterial small subunit ribosomal RNA", at positions 28 to 507 of the family's 1533-position model. The record is from RNAcentral.
GAUGAACGCUGGCGGCAUGCCUAAUACAUGCAAGUCGAACGGAAAGACAAUAAGCUUUCUCCUCUACCGUUGGCGACUGACGGGUGGGUAACACAUACAUCACCUACUUAUAAGUCUUGGAUGACUUCGUAAAGACAGAUCUGCUACUACCUCAUAUGUUCAACCGGUUAAAUCAGUAGAUAUUGACACUUUUGCUGUCACUUAUAGAUGAAUCCGUGUCGGAUUAGCUAGUUGGUAAGGUAACGGCUUACCAAGGCAACGAUGCGUAGCCGAUCUGAGAGGGUGAUCGGCCACACUGGAACUGAGACACGGUCCAGACUCCUACGGGAGGCAGCAGUAGGGAAUAUUCGGCAAUGGGCGAAAGCCUGAUGCAGCAAUGCCGCGUGAGUGAAGAAGGCCUUCGGAUUGUAAAGCUCUGUUAUUAGGGAAGAAAAACUGUGUAUGAAUACACGGAUGUCUUGACGGUACCCAAAGAGAAAGCCACGGCUAACUACGUG